RNAcentral lists this ribosomal RNA (429 nucleotides) under uncultured bacterium. RNAcentral describes it as "bacterial SSU rRNA". It matches the Rfam family "Bacterial small subunit ribosomal RNA", at positions 184 to 592 of the family's 1533-position model. The record is from RNAcentral.
GGGCGGGGGCACGGGGGGAGGAAAGCAGGGGAUCGCAAGACCUCGCGCUAUUGGAGCGGCCGAUGUCCGAUUAGCUAGUUGGUGGGGUAAUGGCCUACCAAGGCAACGAUCGGUAGCUGGUCUGAGAGGAUGAUCAGCCACACUGGGACUGAGACACGGCCCAGACUCCUACGGGAGGCAGCAGUGGGGAAUUUUGGACAAUGGGCGCAAGCCUGAUCCAGCCAUGCCGCGUGAGUGAAGAAGGCCUUCGGGUUGUAAAGCUCUUUCGGCCGGAACGAAAUCGACCGGGCUAAUACCCCGGUUGGAUGACGGUACCGGAAGAAGAAGCACCGGCUAACUACGUGCCAGCAGCCGCGGUAAUACGUAGGGUGCAGGCGUUAAUCGGAAUUACUGGGCGUAAAGCGUGCGCAGGCGGCUUCCUAAGUCAGA